Molecule: ribosomal RNA, 342 nt
Filed under: uncultured eukaryote
Lineage: Eukaryota
Description: partial 18S ribosomal RNA
Rfam family: Eukaryotic small subunit ribosomal RNA
Source: RNAcentral
CCCUUAGAUGUUCUGGGCCGCACGCGCGCUACACUGACGACUUCAACGAGUUUUUUUCAUUUGAAAAAGUCCUUGGCCGGAAGGUCUGGGUAAUCUUUUAAAAGGUCGUCGUGAUGGGGCUAGAUUCUUGCAAUUAUUAAUCUCCAACGAGGAAUUCCUAGUAAACGCAAGUCAUCAACUUGCAUUGAUUACGUCCCUGCCCUUUGUACACACCGCCCGUCGCUCCUACCGAUUGAGCAUCCCGGUGAAGACUCAGGAGAUAUGUACGUGGCUGGUCUCCAGCUGCGUUGCGUGCCGAAUUUGUCUAAACCUUGAUGCUUAGAGGAAGGAGAAGUCGUAACA